RNAcentral lists this ribosomal RNA (249 nucleotides) under Marasmiaceae sp. 4 CRJH-2017. RNAcentral's name for it is "partial 28S ribosomal RNA". It matches the Rfam family "Eukaryotic large subunit ribosomal RNA", at positions 104 to 344 of the family's 3401-position model. The record is from RNAcentral. Lineage: Eukaryota; Fungi; Basidiomycota; Agaricomycetes; Agaricales; Marasmiaceae.
AGAGCUCAAAUUUAAAAUCUGGCAGGUCUUGCGCUUGUCCGAGUUGUAAAUUAGAGAAGUGUUACCCGCGUUGGACCGUGUACAAGUCUCCUGGAAUGGAGCGUCAUAGAGGGUGAGAAUCCCGUCUUUGACACGGACUACCAAGGCUUUGUGGUGCGCUCUCGACGAGUCGAGUUGUUUGGGAAUGCAGCUCUAAAUGGGUGGUAAAUUCCAUCUAAAGCUAAAUAUUGGCGAGAGACCGAUAGCGAA